GACGAACGCUGGCGGCGUGCUUAACACAUGCAAGUCGAACGGAAAGGCCUCUUUCGGGGGGUACUCGAGUGGCGAACGGGUGAGUAACACGUGAGUAACCUGCCCUUGACUUUGGGAUAACUUCAGGAAACUGGGGCUAAUACCGGAUAGGAGCUCCUGCUGCAUGGUGGGGGUUGGAAAGUUUCGGCGGUUGGGGAUGGACUCGCGGCUUAUCACCUUGUUGGUGGGGUAGUGGCUUACCAAGGCUUUGACGGGUAGCCGGCCUGAGAGGGUGACCGGCCACAUUGGGACUGAGAUACGGCCCAGACUCCUACGGGAGGCAGGAGUGGGGAAUAUUGCACAAUGGGUGGGAGCCUGAUGCAGCAACGCCGUGUGCGGGAUGACGGGCUUCGGGUUGUAAACCGCUUUCGCUCAUGACGAAGCUUUGUGUGACGGUAGUGGGUAAAGAAGCACCGGCUAACUACGUG
Molecule: ribosomal RNA, 467 nt
Filed under: uncultured bacterium
Lineage: Bacteria
Description: partial 16S ribosomal RNA
Rfam family: Bacterial small subunit ribosomal RNA
Source: RNAcentral